Molecule: ribosomal RNA, 483 nt
Filed under: uncultured bacterium
Lineage: Bacteria
Description: partial 16S ribosomal RNA
Rfam family: Bacterial small subunit ribosomal RNA
Source: RNAcentral
GACGAACGCUGGCGGCGUGCUUUACACAUGCAAGUCGAACGGUGAAGGUGGAGCUUGCUCCGCCGGAUCAGUGGCGAACGGGUGAGUAACACGUGGGCAACCUGCCCCUAACUUUGGGAUAACUACUCGAAAGAGUAGCUAAUACCGGAUAUGAAGUCUGUAGGCAUCUACGGACUUGGAAAGUUUUUCGGUUAGGGAUGGGCCCGCGGACUAUCAGCUUGUUGGUGAGGUAGUGGCUCACCAAGGCGACGGCGGGUAGCCGGCCUGGGAGGGCGACCGGCCACAGUGGGACUGAGACACGGCCCAGACUCCUACGGGAGGCAGCAGUGGGGAAUAUUGCACAAUGGGCGCAAGCCUGAUGCAGCGACGCCGCGUGAGGGAUGACGGCCUUCGGGUUGUAAACCUCUUUCAGUAGGGACGAAGCGCAAGUGACGGUACCUACAGAAGAAGGACCGGCCAACUACGUGCCAGCAGCCGCGGUAA